GAAGGUAUGGCUCAAGUGGUAGAGCACGUGCUUAGCAUGCAUGAGGCCCUGGGUUCAAUCCCCAGUAACUCUU
RNAcentral lists this transfer RNA (73 nucleotides) under Camelus bactrianus (Bactrian camel). It matches the Rfam family "tRNA". Rfam says of the family: Transfer RNA (tRNA) molecules are approximately 80 nucleotides in length. Their secondary structure includes four short double-helical elements and three loops (D, anti-codon, and T loops). The record is from Rfam by way of RNAcentral. RNAcentral also lists the same sequence under 2 other names. Lineage: Eukaryota; Metazoa; Chordata; Mammalia; Artiodactyla; Camelidae.